GACGAACGCUGGCGGCGUGCUUAACACAUGCAAGUCGAACGGAAAGGCCCUGCUGUUGUGGGGUGCUCGAGUGGCGAACGGGUGAGUAACACGAGAGUAACCUGCCCUUGAGUUAGGGAUAACUUAAGGAAACUGGGGCUAAUACCGGAUAGGCGCUCCUGCUGCAUGGUGGGGGUUGGAAAGUUUCGGCGGUUGGGGAUGGACUCGCGGCUUAUCAGCUUGUUGGUGGGGUCGUGGCUUACCAAGGCUUUGACGGGUAGCCGGCCUGAGAGGGUGACCGGCCACAUUGGGACUGAGAUACGGCCCAGACUCCUACGGGAGGCAGCAGUGGGGAAUAUUGCACAAUGGGCGGAAGCCUGAUGCAGCAACGCCGCGUGCGGGAUGACGGCCUUCGGGUUGUAAACCGCUUUCGCCUGUGACGAAGCGUGAGUGACGGUAAUGGGUAAAGAAGCACCGGCUAACUACGUG
RNAcentral lists this ribosomal RNA (468 nucleotides) under uncultured bacterium. RNAcentral describes it as "partial 16S ribosomal RNA". It matches the Rfam family "Bacterial small subunit ribosomal RNA", at positions 28 to 507 of the family's 1533-position model. The record is from RNAcentral.